This 500-nucleotide ribosomal RNA is filed under the name uncultured bacterium. RNAcentral's name for it is "partial 16S ribosomal RNA". It matches the Rfam family "Bacterial small subunit ribosomal RNA", at positions 30 to 523 of the family's 1533-position model. The record is from RNAcentral.
AUUGAACGCUGGCGGAAUGCUUUACACAUGCAAGUCGAACGGCAGCACGGACUUCGGUCUGGUGGCGAGUGGCGAACGGGUGAGUACUACAUCGGAACGUGCCCAGGCGUGGGGGAUAACGUAGCGAAAGCUACGCUAAUACCGCAUACGAUCUAAGGAUGAAAGCGGGGGAUCGCAAGACCUCGCGCGAUUGGAGCGGCCGAUGGCAGAUUAGGUAGUUGGUAGGGUCAAGGCCUACCAAGCCGACGAUCUGUAGCUGGUCUGAGAGGAUGAUCAGCCACACUGGGACUGAGACACGGCCCAGACUCCUACGGGAGGCAGCAGUGGGGAAUUUUGGACAAUGGGCGCAAGCCUGAUCCAGCCAUUCCGCGUGCAGGAUGAAGGCCUUCGGGUUGUAAACUGCUUUUGUACAGAACGAAAAGGCUCUGGUUAAUACCCGGGGCUCAUGACGGUACUGUAAGAAUAAGCACCGGCUAACUACGUGCCAGCAGCCGCCGUAA